UACGAAGGGGGCUAGCGUUGCUCGGAAUUAUUGGGCGUAAAGCGCGUGUAGGCGGCUUUGCAAGUCGGGUGUGAAAGCCCUCGGCUCAACCGAGGAAGUGCGCCCGAAACUGCAGAGCUUGAGUACCGGAGAGGAUGGCGGAAUUCCCCAAGUAGAGGUGAAAUUCGUAGAUAUGGGGAGGAACACCGGUGGCGAAGGCGGCCAUCUGGACGGAUACUGACGCUGAGACGCGAAAGCGUGGGGAGCGAACAGG
This 253-nucleotide ribosomal RNA is filed under the name uncultured bacterium. RNAcentral's name for it is "partial 16S ribosomal RNA". It matches the Rfam family "Bacterial small subunit ribosomal RNA", at positions 524 to 776 of the family's 1533-position model. The record is from RNAcentral.